UGCUUCUUCUCUAGGUAGUUGUUGCCGUUGUUGAGGUGGAACAUAUUUAUCUGGAAGUAAAGUAAUUGGUUAAAAGAAAGAGAGAAUAAGGGGAUGGAGGCUGUGAGAGAAGGCGAUAGUGGAGGAAGGUGACACCACUGUGGUGAAGUCGAGGCUACGAUGGUGAUGGAUAACCGAACUAUGCCAGUAACAAUAGCAACUACGUCAAUUCGGACAGCACCAGUAGCAAUAACCAUAACCAUUGAUAAAAGAGAAUCCAACGUCCAAAAUCCAUUCGUGGAGUUGCAUAUCCUUGUAGUCACCUUGACCCCUAUCCGAGUCUCAAUAAAUCCAAACCCAACACACAUUCUCUUCCACCACUAACAUCAUCAUCGCUCUCUUUGCACCCAAAAAAACUCAUUCUUUGCUCCGUAAACUUGCCUCAUUGGACAGUCUCCUCGAAAAAGUGAAAAAAGGAGCUAUUAUCAACGUCGGUCUCUAAUUUCUCAUUGGAUGGAUCAGACGUUACUUGAAGAAAGGUCGUUACUCUCAGUGCGUUAGAACCAGUUAAUUUGGAAAAUUUAACAUUGGAUUAUUUAUUAUUGUAAGUAUUGGAGUUGACUGAGAAUGUUGUUAUCAUUAGUUUGUUUGAUUUGGAUUUUUGUUUUUCAUGAUACUAAGGGUUUUCAAUUCAGAUUUUGGGAACUUUUCUUGUUGAUCUCAAAUAAUAAGUAUCAGUUUCAUGUAUUCAUAGCGGAAGUUUGGGCCUUGAUGAUGUUGUUACUGCUACUCCAACGACAGCAGUGUCGCCAUCUCUCAUCUACUGAGGUCAAAUGAAUGUGGAGGGUAUGGGCAAAUUAGAAAUUUCA
Long non-coding RNA from Arachis duranensis, 848 nucleotides. RefSeq lists it as uncharacterized. Lineage: Eukaryota; Viridiplantae; Streptophyta; Magnoliopsida; Fabales; Fabaceae. The transcript has 2 exons. The record is from RefSeq and is a predicted model, not a curated record.